This 889-nucleotide long non-coding RNA is filed under the name Oryza sativa aus subgroup. RNAcentral's name for it is "lncRNA OsN22_04G009200". Lineage: Eukaryota; Viridiplantae; Streptophyta; Magnoliopsida; Poales; Poaceae. The record is from RNAcentral.
CUCCCCCCGCUUCCACCGCGCGCCGCCACCUCUCCCCCUUCCACCGCGCGCCGCCACCUCUCCCCCUUCCACCGCGCGCCGCCUCCUCCCCCCGCUUCCACCGCGCGCCGCCACCUCUCCCCCUUCCACCGCGCGCCGCCUCCUCCCCCCGCUUCCACCGCGCGCCGCCACCUCUCCCCCUUCCACCGCGCGCCGCCUCCUCCCCCCGCUUCCACCGCGCGCCGCCUCCUCCCCCCGCUUCCACCGCGCGCCGCCACCUCUCCCCCUUCCACGCUCCUCCCCAUCCACUGGGCGCCGCCACCUCCUCCUUGGCCAAAUCCGCCGCGCGCCGCCACCUCGCUCCCCAUCCACCGCGCCCCGCUUCCCCCUCUGCCUCGGCGAAAUCCUCCCACCUCCUCCACACCUUCAUCCAAGUCGGCGGCGGCGGCGAGUUCAAAGUUCGAAGCUGCAAGCGCGGUGGUUCCCUGAGCCAGAGAAGGUGUGUUUCGAUUUGGGAAGAAGAAGGCCUUGCUGUCCAGUGAGCAGGCAACCAUAAAAAGGGCUAGCAGAGGUGCUGUAAAAGAAAAUCAAGAACCUACAAGAACCAUAAAAGAGAUGAUUUGUAUUGUUUUUGGAACCUCGAUACACCUACAAGAACCUUAGUUGCAUCUAAGUUAUGUAAUUAUUGCUAUGUACUUGAAGAACUCCAUUAUAUCUAAGUUGGACAUUUAUGUAAUAGCUAUUUGAGCUGAUGGACAACUGCUAUUUGUAUCAGAAUACUGCUAUUGUGAUACUGGUACUUGAAGGCUACUUGAUGGAUGAACAAUAGUUAUGAAUAGUUUAAUAUUGUGUUAUGCAUGUGUGUAACUUACUAAAAAUGAUAAUCUGUGUUGCAAAAUUUGGAGUGGUA